Molecule: transfer RNA, 71 nt
Filed under: Stegodyphus mimosarum
Lineage: Eukaryota; Metazoa; Arthropoda; Arachnida; Araneae; Eresidae
Rfam family: tRNA
About the family: Transfer RNA (tRNA) molecules are approximately 80 nucleotides in length. Their secondary structure includes four short double-helical elements and three loops (D, anti-codon, and T loops).
Source: Rfam by way of RNAcentral
GCCUUCAUGGUGUAACAGUAACACAUUCGGCGUGUAUUCGAGAGGUUCAGGUUUGAGUCCCGGCGAGGGCA